GAACAUCUCGCUCUGUAGUGGCAUAUACUCUUCCUGAGUUGUUGGCCUGGUAUGCUCUUUAUUGAUAGGAUACUCUUUGAUCCGAUGUUGAGUACUAUAACAUCCUAAGCAUCUAUUUAUCAACUUGUAACAAGGUCUGCUACCAUGAUUUUUUACACAAUGGAGGCAUAUUUGCUCUGGCUCUUGUGCUAGGGCUCUCGGAGGAAUUAUGAAACUUGUCUUCUGUCUCUUAUUAGGUUGUUGUUUCUCUUAGGCAUUCCUCUUAUUGUUGAGUAUAAAUUAUCGAGCCUGUUGGAUCUGUUGUGGGAUGGGGCUUGUAGCCUCUUUUGCAAUUAGGGCCUGUUCUAGUGCUUCUUGGUAGUCAUUAAUCUUAAGAGCUGUGAUUUUAUCUCAGAUCUCCUUACGCAGGCCUCUCUAAAACUUCCUAGCUCUUAAACUUCCAUCGACUACUACGUUAGGCCCAAACUGUGCCAAGUCUAUGAACCUUUUUAUAUAUUCUAUCACCCUCAUAUUCCCUUGCUUUAAUUCCAGAAACUCAAUUUGCUUAUAUUUUCAAACAAAAUUAGGGAAAUAAUUCUUGUAGAAUGUCGCUCUAAAUGUUUUCCGAAGGAUUGGUGUCUUUAGGGAUCCCCUCUUCAGAUGCCACCAGUGUUCUACAGCUCCCUUGAACAUGAAUGUGGCUGAUUGUACCUUUUGCUCUGAAUUAGGGCUGAGAACAUCGAAUAUCUUCUCCAACUCCAUGAUUCAUUAUUUGGUUAAUAUCGGGUCAGUUGCUCCAGCAAAUGAUGAUGGGUUCAUUCUUUUAAACCUUUCAAUGAGUUUUCUAUUAUUUUCUUCAAUCGGCUGGGUGUUACCGGUACUAGCAUUAUUACCAUUAAUAGCACCUUCGUUAUGGACUGCAUGUUGACUUCCCACUGUAGCCAAGCCUUCAACUAUACGCAUGAGUCUAUCUAGACUCUGCUUAAUCUGGUCUUCUAAAACCCAAUGUGCCUGAUCUCU
RNAcentral lists this long non-coding RNA (999 nucleotides) under Carica papaya (papaya). RNAcentral's name for it is "long non-coding RNA (CPAP_LNC005127)". Lineage: Eukaryota; Viridiplantae; Streptophyta; Magnoliopsida; Brassicales; Caricaceae. The record is from RNAcentral.